Molecule: ribosomal RNA, 652 nt
Filed under: Clostridioides difficile
Lineage: Bacteria; Bacillati; Bacillota; Clostridia; Peptostreptococcales; Peptostreptococcaceae
Description: partial 23S ribosomal RNA
Rfam family: Bacterial large subunit ribosomal RNA
Source: RNAcentral
ACUGUCAGGUGGGCAGUUUGACUGGGGCGGUCGCCUCCCAAAAGGUAACGGAGGCGCUCAAAGGUUCUCUCAGUACGGUCGGAAAUCGUACGUAGAGUGUAAAGGCAAAAGAGAGCUUGAUUGCAAGACAUACAGGUCGAGCAAGGAUGAAAAUCGGACUUAGUGAUCCGGUGGUUCUGCGUGGAAGGGCCAUCGCUCAACGGAUAAAAGCUACCCUGGGGAUAACAGGCUUAUCUCCCCCAAGAGUCCACAUCGACGGGGAGGUUUGGCACCUCGAUGUCGGCUCAUCACAUCCUGGGGCUGUAGUAGGUCCCAAGGGUUGGGCUGUUCGCCCAUUAAAGUGGUACGCGAGCUGGGUUCAGAACGUCGUGAGACAGUUCGGUCCCUAUCCGUCGCAGGCGUAGGAAAUUUGAGAAGACCUGUCCUUAGUACGAGAGGACCGGGAUGGACGUACCUCUGGUGUACCAGUUGUCCUGCCAAGGGCAUGGCUGGGUAGCUAUGUACGGAAUGGAUAAGCGCUGAAAGCAUCUAAGCGCGAAGCCAACUUCAAGAUAAGAUUUCCCACCGCAAGGGUAAGACCCCAGAAAGACUAUCUGGUUGAUAGGUCGAAGGUGUAAGUGCAGCAAUGUAUUUAGCUUAUCGAUACUAAUAG